GCGUAGCGGUCUGGUUGGUGUGUAGCGGUUGACCAGUCUAGUAGUAGAUAGCUGGGAGCAGUUCUAUUGAUGCGUUUGUAGCCUAGGUUAUAACCAGGGACUGAACCAGGCUAUUAUUAAAAAUAUUGCAGUUGAAAUUACGUACAACGGUACUCGCACCAUUUUAUAUUUCAAGAGGUAUUAUGCUGAUCAAACCGACAUACUUCGGUUCUUCCUAAAUUCAGAUUUAUCGGAAGUUUGUCGAUACAAAAAGCGAAGGACGAGCGCCACCUGAUGCGAGUGUUCGUAAUUACAACGUGUACUAUGUGAAUGUACAGGGCUGCAGCCAAUCAGAGCGGCACUACAGAAUCUGUAAACAACACAACUUGCGCGACUUCGGAAGGCGCUGGAGCGCGAGGGUGUCGGGAUGUGCGCGCGGUCCUCACCACUGCUCACAGAAUAUGAAGUACUUAAGGACUGCUGGCUGUGCGACUUCAGGAUGCGAGUGAUGAAUCCGACUGGCAGGGAGGUGGUCGAGUGGCCCUGCAGGGUGUCGUGCUGCCAACAACCACAACUGGCAAGCUGCGCCCUACCGGAGUGUGUUUCCCAUCCCUGUACAAAGCAGCAUCCAGACCAGCACGCCCCGGUUCCACCACAUGCCUAUCAGAUGUACUACGUGCCAACAGGACCGAACUCCAGGCUGCGGAACGAUGAUGGUGAAAGUCAAAGACCCUCACAAACCUGGAAGUUUACAAGGAAUUCCCAGCAGCCUUCCUCUUUGCUGUUUCCUCAGCUAACUAACAACAAACUACAGUCUGCAAUCAGUAAUCUACACAAACUCUUCUACACCUUCUCAUCCUUAGUCUGCCUUCCUCUUCCUCCUCCCUCUUCUCUCACCACUGAUGAUUUUGCAUUGUUCUUCAGAGACAAAGUCAACUCCAUCACAAACAAGUUCCCAGCAUCCACCUGUCCCGGUCAUGUAAGAUCUCGCUGCAAAGUUACGUUCUCCAUAUUUCAACCUGUCGGAAAUUGAGAUCUCCUACCUCCUGCUGUCACAUAGAUCCACCACCUGUUCCGUCAGUCCAAUCCCUUUGCCUCUUCUAAAGGACAUUUCCUUGGAACUAAAUCUUUUAUUUCCAAGAUAAUCAGUUCCUCACUAUCCUUUGGUUGCUUCCAAUCCACCUUCAAAUGUGCCUUCAUUUCACCACUGCUAAAGAAACCCUCCCUGUAUCCAGAAUUACAGGCCUCCCUCCUCCCUUUUCUGUCAGAAACUUUGGAACAAAGAACAUGUCAUCAGCUGUCUGCAUUCCUCACCCAGAAUGAUCUUCUGGACAGGUAUCAGUCUGGAUUCAAAGCCGGACAUUCCAUUAUGACAUCUCUCCUGGCAAUGUCAAUGCUCUCCAGUCAGCCAGAGCGGUCUCCCUCUUCUCAGUCCUCAACCUCCUUGAUCUGUCUGCAGAAUUCGACACUGUCAACCAUUGGAUUCCACUUCCCUCUCUUGGACAGCUUGGGAUCAAAGGAACUGCACUGAAAUAAUUUGAGUCCUGCCUAUCAGGUAGACCCUAGCAAGUGGUCUGGUGGGGCUCCCCUUCAUCCCCUCAGUCUAUCUGAACUGGUGUUCCACAGGGCUCGGUACUGGGCCCCCUACUCUUCUCCAUCUACACCUCUUCCCUCGAUUCUUAUCAAAUUCAAGACUCUGGUUACUGCCUACAAAACCAUCAAUGGAUCAGCUUCCUGACAUCUACAAGACCUGAUCGCUCGCUACCCCAAAACCAGACGGGGCACUCCACCUCUGCCCACUUGGUGGUUCCAUGCACAAGAGCUCCAAAAUCAGCACAGCAAGUAGUGUUGCUGUCUCAUAGUGCUUGGAUGGUGCGAAAGGACAUCAGUUUGAUCCCUGCUCAGUCUAUGUGGAGUUUGUAUAUUCUCUCAGUGUCCACGUGGGUUUUCUCCCACACUCCAAAGACAUGCUGUUCAGAUGGAUUAGCGAUUCUGAGUCACACAGAGAGUGCGUUUCACUGAUGUAUGGAUAAGUAACUUAUUGUAAGUAUUGUAUCUGGCAGUGUAAGUCACCUUGGAUGAAUAGGGUGUGGGCUGUUAACAAUACAUAGAGGAAUUCACUUUGGAGAAAAACCUCUGCUAAAUGAUGUAAUGUAAGCGUAAGUCAAACGCAUAAAGGUUUUCGAUUCUGGCUCCGAUGUGGUGGAAUGACCUCUCACUCAGGAUUGCUGAGUCUCUCUCUGUUUUUAAUAAGGAGCUCUUUCUCAACUCACGUCUUUCAGCCUCAUUUCUCCUGAUCUUUUAAGUGCUUGGAAAACGUGUAUGUUUGUCAUGUUCAGUAAUUCUUAGUAACAAUUUGUUUAAUAAUACAAAAGUCUAUAUGCAGCCAUAUGCAGCUACUUGUGAACUGGUUCAUGUGGUGGUAUGUAACAAAUUGACUGUACUCAAGUGCAUCAUGCCUGUAUCCAAAUCUCUCCUUCUGUUGAUCUAAUGCACUUUUCUGUAUUGUCGUCGAAGAUGUACGUCGCUUUGGAAGAAAGCAUCUGCUAAAUGAAUAAAUGUAAAUGUGAAGGGAAUGUUAUGAGUUCU
Molecule: long non-coding RNA, 2568 nt
Organism: Scleropages formosus (Asian bonytongue)
Lineage: Eukaryota; Metazoa; Chordata; Actinopteri; Osteoglossiformes; Osteoglossidae
Source: Ensembl